AAGUGAUUGCUCCUUCAGGAGCUGGACCACUCUAAAACUGGAGGAAAUGAAAGCUAUUGGUUGGAUCUAGAGGAAAACAUACUGACUUCUGGAAAGAUUAAGGAGCUAAAGAUCAGCCAAAAAGAACUUCAGCUUUCCACUGUGAAGGAAUUACGUGGAUUUCUCCUUUUAAUCUGAAGGAACUCCUUAAAUAGAAAACCAAAUAACCCCAAGCCUCUUCUGUUGCAGGAAACACUAGUGUGGAAUGCCAAAAACAGAUACAGCAAUGCAUGUUGGCUGCAGUAUAAAUCCAGCUGUAGAUAUGGGACAGAAUAAAACUCUUACAGAAAUAGAAGCUUUUUUGAAUAAUAACCUCUUAACUGCAAUAGAAAUAAGCAGUCUUUCUGAGAAUCUUCAGAGUUCUCUUCCCCUGUCAGAUGGUCCAAGCAGCUGUACUGAUGACCAGUUCAGGAGUACAUGUCAGUCAGCCAGAUCUCUGGAACUGCCAGUGAAGCUUCCUUUAAUUGCAACGUCUAACGCAAAACAGCAGGAUAGCCCUUCUGUUUGUGAAGUACUAAAUUCUUGUAAAAGUACUACUGUUUUGUCAAAGGAAAUACACUCAGAUCAACUCAGGUUUGCGUUAUCAUUGCCUUCUGAUAGAAAUAAUCAAAGGUCAAAUGAAACAGACCAGGUGGAAGCAACUGUUGACACAAAUACAUUUUUAAAAGAAAAUCAGUUAGAUACAGAACUAAACUGCAACAGUGUCUUCCUGACUCACGUCAAUAAUGCACAAUAUCCGAGACAGUCUGAGGAGUUUACAAAACAAUAUACUGAUAGUUCAUUGUCAUUCUGUGGAAAUGUGACUGAAAGAAAGAAGCAUGCAGUACAUUAUAGGCCAAAAACUCAACCUAAUAUAAAGGAUUUUGAUAAAAAAUGUAGUUCAAAUAAUCUGCUUCAUUGUGGUAUUAAUGGCAGCAGGAACACCAAUGACACGAACUUGCAGGCAAGAUCCAGUGACUUGUCUCGCAGUAUUCCUUCACCUCUUCAGCUCAGCAGUGAAUGUAACAUAGAUUUUAAGAUUCCUGUGGACAAGAUUAAACCUGAAGAAACUGUUUAUGAUGCUGAUAUGGAGUUGACUGUCAGUGAUGUAGGUGAACUACUCACAGUUACAUCAAAAGAUAAAGAUAAACUACAUCAAAAUAAAAAUAGUAAUGCCAAUUCUGAUAAAAUAUCAGCAAAUUUCAGAAGAGUAAAAUAUUCUAAAGAGAAAACUAAAAGCAAGCCUAAAGUAAGUUCAAAUUCAUAUGCAGAAGAAAGGUACCCUAAGACUGACAGUAGUACAGAUUCAAAAAUUAAUGACUCAGGAACUCAAAUAUUCCAAAAUCAGACAGAACAGCUACCUACAGGGAAUUCCUUAGAGAAACCGAGUUUAAAAAAUACCAGCAAAUAUUAUCGAGCACAGGAUUGCCCAAGUAAAGCUAAAGAUACUAGGAGGACAUACUUGGUUAACCUAGUGAAUCCAAGGAAACAAGAACAGGAGACAAAUCAAGAAACUUUCCCAGAAAGGUUUGAAGAUGUGGAAAACAAAAUACAAAAAUCAGACUCUAACACUUCUAAUAAUAAGAUCUCACCUGAAGUUUAUUGUGCUGAAAGUUUUCCAUUCCAGGAUAACACCUCUAAUGCAUUGUCUUUACAGCAGGACUUUCUACAUACAAAUGAGAAACGUAUCAGCCCAGAAAUGAACAGGAAAGCCUUUCAGAACCCUUCUAAAAAGAACGCAACAAAAUAUUGUAGAGAGGAAAAUGGACAGUAUAGAGAAUAUGGUUCAAAAAAAUCUCAAACAGAGGUAUGCCAACAUGACUGGAAGAGAAGAGAAGAGCAGAAGAAUAUUAUAAAGAAAAAAUACAACCAAAAAUGUAGUUACAGACGAAGUGGAGAAACUGAAAGUGGUAGUGUUCAUAAAGUUAUUCAGAAAAUAGACCGAAGGAAUAAUAAUGUUUCAUCAGGCAGAUUUAAACAUACAUUAGCAAAAGCUAGCCGGAAAGCAUGUAUAAUACCAACAGAAAACCUUAAGCAAUUCACACUUCGUAGAACUGAAGGGUUAAAAAAUAAGAAUGCAUUGUGCACAGAUGUUGUCCAUGGAAAUAAAAUAGCUAAAACACAGCAAGUACAAGGAGCUUUAGAUUCUCAGAAUGGUGUAGCUAUGAAUACACUGCAAGCUAGUUCCUCCACAAAACAGGUGGCUGAUGACAGUACUGACAUGUUAAAGAAAGAGGUAGAUCCCUCAUCAGUGGCACAUAAAAAGCCUUACCUUAUUAAUUCUCCUGAUGAUCAGGUAAAGAACCAAGGGAGCUUCAUUUCUGAUUUUACUGAGAUCAGACCAGAAGAAAAGGAUUUCAGGAAUGUUGACCAAGGGGAGCAGAAUAUUUUGGACAACCAGAAAGUCCUGCCUGAGAUAAGUUCCUUUAUGAGCAAUUUAAAGUCUACAGUUCAAAAAUCAGAAUUUUUAAAAUUCUUACCUGUAGACUGCUCUGAGAAUAUGCCAUUAAGUUCAGGUAGCUUUUUUCAGGAAGGUCUUCCCCAUGUGGAGUUCCCAGUUGUUGAUUACCAUAAUGUUUCAGUGAACUUCUCUAUCCUGAAAAACUCUGAAAUCUGUGGAAAAAAUGAUCAUACUAAAACACUGGAUGCUGAAAUAGCAGAGCAAAAACUGGAUCAUACUUCUACAGAAACUUAUAAAAAGUCUCUGUCACUUUGUCAUGGGAGAAAGGCUUUGCAAGAUCUGACAAAUACCAGUAUACAUUCUCAGGUUUCCUUACCUAAAUCCCCCAAAACUUUAGAAGAAAACUCAGCAGCACGAGCUAGACGAGGAAGAGCUGCUAUUUGCUACAAAGAACCCAAACUAAACAGCAAAUUAAGGCGUGGAGAUCAGUUUACAGAUACAGAUUUUCUGGAUUCCCCAGUCUAUAAAGUAAAAAAUAAAAGAAGUUUUAAAAGUAAAUCAAAAUUUAUUUGAAGAAGACAAGAGAAUUGCCUUUAUGAACAGUAUUUUUAACAUGUAUACUUUUUUUUUUUCCAAAAUGGUAUAGACUGCUUAUUGUUCUUUGAUUAAUAAAGGUAAAACACAGCCUUCCA
RNAcentral lists this long non-coding RNA (3111 nucleotides) under Apteryx owenii (little spotted kiwi). Its description in RNAcentral is "lncRNA (ENSAOWG00000001038.1)". Lineage: Eukaryota; Metazoa; Chordata; Aves; Apterygiformes; Apterygidae. The record is from RNAcentral.